AGGACGAACGCUGGCGGCGUGCUUAACACAUGCAAGUCGAGCGGUAAGGCCUCUUCGGGGGUACACGAGCGGCGAACGGGUGAGUAACACGUGGGUGACCUGCCCUCAGCUCUGGGAUAAGCCUGGGAAACUGGGUCUAAUACCGGAUAUGACUUGGCCUCGCAUGGGGUUGGGUGGAAAGUCCUGGGCUUUGUUGUCUGGGUUCGGCUGGGGAUGGGCCCGCGGCCUAUCAGCUUGUUGGUGGGUGAUGGCCUACCAAGGCGACGACGGGUAGCCGGCCUGAGAGGGCGACCGGCCAACGACUGGGACUGAGACACGGCCCAGACUCCACGGGAGGCAGCAGUGGGGAAUAUUGCGCAAAUGGGCGGAAGCCUGACGCAGCGACGCCGCCGUGGGGAGUGACGG
Molecule: ribosomal RNA, 405 nt
Filed under: uncultured soil bacterium
Lineage: Bacteria
Description: bacterial SSU rRNA
Rfam family: Bacterial small subunit ribosomal RNA
Source: RNAcentral